GAUGAACGCUGGCGGCGUGCCUAAUACAUGCAAGUCGAGCGAACAGACGAGGAGCUUGCUCCUCUGACGUUAGCGGCGGACGGGUGAGUAACACGUGGAUAACCUACCUAUAAGACUUGGAUAACUUCGGGAAACCGGAGCUAAUACCGGAUAAUAUAUUGAACCUCAUGCUUCAAUAGUCAAAGACGGUUUUGCUUUCACUUAUAGAUGGAUCCGCGCCGCAUUAGCUUGUUGGUAAGGUAACGGCUUACCAAGGCAACGAUGCGUAGCCGACCUGAGAGGGUGAUCGGCCACACUGGAACUGAGACACGGUCCAGACUCCUACGGGAGGCAGCAGUAGGGAAUCUUCCGCAAUGGGCGAAAGCCUGACGGAGCAACGCCGCGUGAGUGAUGAAGGUCUUCGGAUCGUAAAACUCUGUUAUUAGGGAAGAACAAAUGUGUAAGUAACUAUGCACGUCUUGACGGUACCUAAUCAGAAAGCCACGGCUAACUACGUG
RNAcentral lists this ribosomal RNA (497 nucleotides) under uncultured bacterium. RNAcentral's name for it is "partial 16S ribosomal RNA". It matches the Rfam family "Bacterial small subunit ribosomal RNA", at positions 28 to 507 of the family's 1533-position model. The record is from RNAcentral.